RNAcentral lists this non-coding RNA (335 nucleotides) under unclassified sequences. RNAcentral's name for it is "throat-1 RNA". It matches the Rfam family "throat-1 RNA". From Rfam's summary of the family: throat and tongue metagenomes. Environment (Human Microbiome Project, throat) The record is from Rfam by way of RNAcentral.
AGCGCUGCUGGCGCUAUACAAAGAAAAGCCGUUAGAAUAAGGUUAACGGCCUACGGUUUCGUAACGCCGCUGCAAUAAAGGGACGGGGCAUAUAGUAUGUAUCUAUUUCAAAUAGUAUAUGUCCUAAAGGGUAGAAGAUAUUGCGACGCCUGUACCGCUUGGCGAUGAAAUAGCGGACGAAUUAGCAAUAACGGGUAUGGUUGAAUCGCCGGAGUUAGAUUCCGGAUAGCUGCGAAAGUGGCGGGAUUAUAUAGAAUAUCAGCAAUGAUAUAUAAGUAGGGCAUGGAUUUAGACACUUAUUAAUAUAUACGAUAGUAAAAUAUCGGCUUUAAAUA